GGUUAUGGCUCAGUGAUAGAGCACGUGUCUGGCAUGUGUGAGGCCCUGGGUUCAAAUCUCAGCACCA
This 67-nucleotide transfer RNA is filed under the name Marmota monax (woodchuck). RNAcentral's name for it is "tRNA.Ala". It matches the Rfam family "tRNA". Rfam says of the family: Transfer RNA (tRNA) molecules are approximately 80 nucleotides in length. Their secondary structure includes four short double-helical elements and three loops (D, anti-codon, and T loops). Further hydrogen bonds mediate the characteristic L-shaped molecular structure. tRNAs have two regions of fundamental functional importance: the anti-codon, which is responsible for specific mRNA codon recognition, and the 3' end, to which the tRNAs corresponding amino acid is attached (by aminoacyl-tRNA synthetases). tRNAs cope with the degeneracy of the genetic code in two manners: having more than one tRNA (with a specific anti-codon) for a particular amino acid; and 'wobble' base-pairing, i.e. permitting non-standard base-pairing at the 3rd anti-codon position. The record is from RNAcentral. Lineage: Eukaryota; Metazoa; Chordata; Mammalia; Rodentia; Sciuridae.